This 253-nucleotide ribosomal RNA is filed under the name uncultured bacterium. RNAcentral describes it as "partial 16S ribosomal RNA". It matches the Rfam family "Bacterial small subunit ribosomal RNA", at positions 524 to 776 of the family's 1533-position model. The record is from RNAcentral.
UACGUAGGGACCAAGCGUUGUUCGGAUUUACUGGGCGUAAAGGGCGCGUAGGCGGCAAUUCAAGUCAUCUGUGAAAUCUCCGGGCUUAACUCGGAACGGUCAGAUGAUACUGCUUUGCUAGAGUACUGGAGAGGGUAACGGAAUUCACGGUGUAGCAGUGAAAUGCGUAGAUAUCGUGAGGAACACCAGAGGCGAAGGCGGUUACCUGGACAGUUACUGACGCUCAGGCACGAAAGCAUGGGGAGCAAAAGGG